This 303-nucleotide unclassified non-coding RNA is filed under the name Hevea brasiliensis (rubber tree). The record is from RNAcentral. Lineage: Eukaryota; Viridiplantae; Streptophyta; Magnoliopsida; Malpighiales; Euphorbiaceae.
UCAUCUUGCUUUGCACGAAGCUCUUCCAUGUGCAGUUGAAAUACCUUGGUGGUGUUCUCAAGUUCUCUUGUAAUUUCUUGUGCACGUAAUUCAGCAGUUUUUUGUGCUGCCUCUGCCUGUCGCUUUUCUGCACGAGCACGGGCAGCAGCAGAAAUGGCAGCAUCAAGUUCUCUUUCCAAAGUCUCUACCCUUUGUUCAAGAACCUUGAUGGUACGGGCUUGUUCAGAACUGAGGGAAGCUUUAGUGAAGGUCUCUUCAUCUACAAAUACAGCUUUCUUGAGAAGUAGUUUCUGCAGGGAGUCU